Piliocolobus tephrosceles (Ugandan red Colobus) is the source of this 1013-nucleotide long non-coding RNA. RefSeq lists it as uncharacterized. The transcript is spliced from 2 exons. Lineage: Eukaryota; Metazoa; Chordata; Mammalia; Primates; Cercopithecidae. The record is from RefSeq and is a predicted model, not a curated record.
UGCGCCCAGAGGACGCGGCCUUGGCCAAUCCCAGGGCUACAGGGCGCUUUUAAAAUGCAGGAACCUACUUCAGGGAACCACAGAGGCCAAAUUCAGAAUCCCUACUUGAACCACUGACCUUUUGCCCUCUCCAAGGCCGGAAGCAAGCCCUUGCCUGCUGCACGCCUCAGUUGCCCCGUCUGUAAAGUGGGCAGCCCAUCAAAUUCACAUCUCCCUGGCUGAGAGUCAUCUGGAGAAAUAAUGAGUAUGUGACCUAAUGAAAAUUGCACGGUGCCUGCCAAGCGAAGUGGGUAAGCCACUGGCCCAGCACUGUCAUUACAGGAAGUAAAGCAGUGCGUGGGCUGAUGACUGGCAAGGGGUGCCGGAACCUUUCAUCAUGGGUUCCCUUGGGAGGCCAGGUAGGUCAGCUUUAAAAACACACAGUGCUGCGGGGCCUGCCUUCCUGUGGUUUCCAGGCCAGAUUGUCCAGAACUCUGCCUGUGCAGCCCCGCCCCCUGCAAGCAGGAAUCAAUGCACCUGAGUAGCCUCCUCCCAUCUGCAGAGGAGGAAGCUAAGGUGUAGUGGGGGUCAAGGUACUGGCCUAAGGUCCCACAGCCAAGGGGUGGCUGGGAGGUGCAGCCAGGUCUGCCUGGCACAGAGUCUGGUCUCCUGACCACGACGCCAAGCUUGUUAUUACCAUCACCACAAUAGAAUACUAAUAAUAGUUGUCAUAAUUAUUAUUAUUGUGGAGGGCUGGUCUCCAGGCAGGCAGGUCUGGGUUGCUGCAUCACUGGGGACAGAUGGCUGGCUAGUGCCCACAAUGAGGCAGGGUCCUGUCCCAACCAGCACUAGGAGAAUGCUGGACACGGGAGGCUGAGCCCAUCCUGCAGCCUGGGUCAGCAGCCUGGGGCCUCACCCCACCCUCCAUCCAAUGCCGGGCGCAGGCGGCCUCUCCAAUGCCCAUCUGCCCUGGAGGGCUCUGGUGAUAGAUACAGUGGAGAUUCGUUGAUAUGAACAUUAAACAUUCAACCAGA